RNAcentral lists this small nucleolar RNA (63 nucleotides) under Drosophila ananassae. RNAcentral describes it as "snoRNA:GF26135". Lineage: Eukaryota; Metazoa; Arthropoda; Insecta; Diptera; Drosophilidae. The record is from RNAcentral.
CGUGAUGAUUCUUUUAAUCUUUCGGGUAUGAAAUGCAAUGAUUUCACUUUCACCGCUGACCAG